GAUGAAGAACGUAGCGAAAUGCGAUAAGUAAUGUGAAUUGCAGAAUUCAGUGAAUCAUCGAAUCUCUGAACGCACAUUGCGCCCGCCAGUAUUCUGGCGGGCAUGCCUGUUCGAGCGUCAUUACAACCCUCAGGCCCCCGGGCCUGGCGUUGGGGAUCGGCGGAGCCCCCCGUGGGCACACGCCGUCCCCCAAAUGCAGUGGCGGUCCCGCCGCAGCUUCCAUCGCGUAGUAGCUAACACCUCGCGACUGGAGAGCGGCGCGGCCACGCCGUAAAACACCCAACUCUUCUGAAGUUGACCUCGAAUCAGGUAGGAAUACCCGCUGAACUUAAGCAUAUCAAUAAGCGGAGGA
Molecule: unclassified non-coding RNA, 352 nt
Filed under: soil metagenome
Description: partial contains 5.8S ribosomal RNA, internal transcribed spacer 2, and large subunit ribosomal RNA
Rfam family: 5.8S ribosomal RNA (bases 1-120)
Source: RNAcentral